GCACUCGAAUGCCCUAGCACUCCCUCACAUGCACUCGCAUCCCCUUGCAUGUCCUUGCACCCUCUUGCAUACACUUGCAUGUCCUCACAUAUUCCCACGCUCUCAUAUUCCCACACACACCCUCAUACACCCUCACACGAAUGUCCUCGUACACUCUCGCAAUUCUUUGCACUACCUCACACGCUCUUGCAUGCUCUCACAUCCCCUCACACAUACUCACAUACCAUCAUGCAUGCUGUCGCAUGUCAUCACACACUCUGCCAUGCCCUCACAUGCACUCGCACACCCUAGCAUGCCCUUGCAUGCCCUUGCAUCCCCUGGCACCCUCUCACACAUGCUCACAUGCCCUCACGUGCUCUCACAUGGCCUCACACUCUCUCACAUAUCCUCUCAUGCCCUUGCAUGCCCUCACACAGCCUCACACACCCACAGAUGUCCUCACACAUCCUCGCAAGCCCUCACAUGCCCUUGCCUCUCCAUGCAUGUCCUUGCACCCUCUCACACAUGCUUGCAUGCUCUCAGACACUCUCACAUGGCCUUGCACUCCCUCGAAUGUCCUCAUACACUCUGGCAAUUCUUUGCAUGCCCUCACAUGCUCUUGCAUACUCUCACAUCCCCUUGCACAUACUUACAUACCAUCACACCCACUUGCACUGUCUCACGUGCCCUCACACGCCCUCCCACACUCUCACAGGCCCUCACAUGCUCUUGCACGACUUGCACAUGCUUGCAGUCCUUGCACACUCUCACAUGACCUUGCAUGUCCUUACACUCCCUAACAUGCCCUAGCCUGCCCUUGCCCACUCUUGCACAUCAUCACACAGCUUCUCAUGCCCUUGCACAUUGUUGCUCAACCUCGCAUGUACUCACACACCUUCACACGCCCUUGCAUACCCUUACAUGGCUUAACAUGCCCUCGGAGGCUCUCACAGUGCCUCACAUGCUCUUGUACUCCCUCUAUGUUCUUGCAUGUCCUUACAUGCCCUUGCACAUCUUUGCACACUCUUGCACAUCCUCGCACAUUCUCUCAUGCCCUUGCCUGCUUUCCCAUACCAUC
Molecule: long non-coding RNA, 1057 nt
Filed under: Bos mutus (wild yak)
Lineage: Eukaryota; Metazoa; Chordata; Mammalia; Artiodactyla; Bovidae
Description: lncRNA (ENSBMUG00000017586.1)
Source: RNAcentral